Molecule: transfer RNA, 68 nt
Filed under: Lithobates sylvaticus (wood frog)
Lineage: Eukaryota; Metazoa; Chordata; Amphibia; Anura; Ranidae
Description: Rana sylvatica (wood frog) tRNA-Glu
Rfam family: tRNA
About the family: Transfer RNA (tRNA) molecules are approximately 80 nucleotides in length. Their secondary structure includes four short double-helical elements and three loops (D, anti-codon, and T loops).
Source: RNAcentral
GUUUUUGUAGUUGAAUACAACGGUAGUUUUUCAAGCUAUAAGUCUAGGUUAAAGCCCUAGCAGAAAUA